This 72-nucleotide non-coding RNA is filed under the name Dichanthelium oligosanthes. Its description in RNAcentral is "Eukaryotic large subunit ribosomal RNA". It matches the Rfam family "Eukaryotic large subunit ribosomal RNA", at positions 1003 to 1074 of the family's 3401-position model. Lineage: Eukaryota; Viridiplantae; Streptophyta; Magnoliopsida; Poales; Poaceae. The record is from Rfam by way of RNAcentral.
AUUGGGUAAAGCCACUGAUUAGAGGCAUCGGGGGCGCAAUGCCCUCAACCUAUUCUCAAACUUUAAAUAGGU